Molecule: non-coding RNA, 913 nt
Organism: Meleagris gallopavo (turkey)
Lineage: Eukaryota; Metazoa; Chordata; Aves; Galliformes; Phasianidae
Source: RefSeq, a predicted model, not a curated record
UUUUCACUAAUAUCUAACUUACAACUCUGCUUAUUUUUUCAGACAUGGAGAUGACUUGAUUGUGACACCAUUUGCUCAGGUGCUGGCCAGCCUGCGUACUGUACGGAAUAACUUUGCUGCAUUAACCAAUUUACAAGAUCGGGCCCCCAGCAAACGGUCACCAAUGUGUAACCAACCAUCUAUUAACAAAGCAACUAUAACAGGUAGUUAUAUCUCUAUGGCUUGAUGGCAGAGUGAAAGGAUUUGCUUUCCCUCUUAGUGAAAGAAAACAGGAAGUUACUACACAAACAAUUUAUCAUUUAAACCAAAAAUUUAUUCUUUAUAGAAUUUUUUAAUGCAUUUUUUGUUUGUUUGCAGACAGAUCUUGGCUUGAUUUUUGCUGAUCCUCUGCUUGCCUUUUUAAUUGUAUGAUAAUAGGGUUUUAGAUCAAGGAAGAACAAACACCUGAGCUUUCUUCGGGAGAACUGGCUUUGUCAUGUUCAGUGUUUCCUCUGGAACGUGGUAACAUCAUUAGGUUUUUCAUCUAUCCUUACCCAAUAUCCACAUAUUCCUCUAAAAUAUGCAGUCUUAUUAGUUCUAUAUUACUCUUUUCUCCAAUUCAUCAUGUAAUCUGAGGAUUUGUGCAGAGAGCUUACUAGGGAACAGAGGGUUAAAUCUUCAAAUCCACUCUAUACACAGAAAAUCAUCCCUGAUUAAUAGCAUUCUGCAAUCAUACUUAAAUUCAUAGUAAUUAAAUAAAUAGAGAGGGAGACAGAAAAAUAAAUAGAUCAUGAAGCCAUGAACUACUUUUCUUGCCUGUAGUGACUGCAAUCUUAGUCCUUUGUUAAUAUAUUACUUAAGAGAUCACGUUCGGUAUUAGUUUCAAAUUAAUAGCAAGGAGACAUCUCACUUACUGACAGGUGCUGCUGCAAUU